RNAcentral lists this ribosomal RNA (406 nucleotides) under uncultured bacterium. RNAcentral's name for it is "partial 16S ribosomal RNA". It matches the Rfam family "Bacterial small subunit ribosomal RNA", at positions 29 to 526 of the family's 1533-position model. The record is from RNAcentral.
AUUGAACGCUGGCGGCAGGCCUAACACAUGCAAGUCGAGCGCGCGGCGGACGGGUGAGUAAUGUCUGGGAAACUGCCUGAUGGAGGGGGAUAACUACUGGAACAGGUAGCUAAUACCGCCUACCCUCCGAUGUGCCCAGAUGGGAUUAGCUAGUAGGUGGGGUAACGGCUCACCUAGGCGACGCUCCCUAGCUGGUCUGAGAGGAUGACCAGCAAGACUGGAACUGAGACACGUUCCAGACGCCUACGGGAGGCAGCAGUGGGGAAUAUUGCACAAGGGGCGCACGCCUGAUGCAGCCAUGCCGCGUGUUGGAAGAAGGCCUUCGGGUUGGAAAGCACUUGCAGCGAGGAGGCGUUCCCCGCAGAAGAAGCACCGGAUAACUCCGUGCCAGCAGCCGCGGUAAUAG